This is a long non-coding RNA of Cygnus olor (mute swan), 4979 nucleotides long. RefSeq lists it as uncharacterized. The transcript has 5 exons. The record is from RefSeq and is a predicted model, not a curated record. NCBI's taxonomy places the organism in Eukaryota, Metazoa, Chordata, Aves, Anseriformes, Anatidae.
GCUGCAUAAUCUUUAGCAAACUGUUGUGUGCUAAGCCUGAGGGUGCGGGGCGGGGGGGUUGUAUCUGCUUCCCAGUGAUUUACGUAGGAGCUGCUGCAGAGGAGCAGGCAAAGUCCACACAAAAUGCUGGAUGGCAGAUCGCAUUUUGGCUGUGCAUUAAAUCAUCUGCAACUGGGAGACAACAGGAUUUUAACAGCGUAAACAAGAAAAAAAAACACACACAUUGAGAGCACACAUUGCUGUUAACACGGUAGCAGAGAAUAUGUUUCUACAGGAAAGUGAGCAUUGGUUAAGAGAAAAGCUCUUUUCUGAUUUACCUGCCAGCCUCAAACAACACCCUCUUUCUUCGCAUUAGAAAUGGAAACACGUCCUCUGCAGGAAUUUUCCACUUAAUAGCUCCUGCUUUCCUACCGGGGGCCUCAGUGCACCACCACUGCAAUGCUGUAUUUCUUUCCACUGCAGUUUGACAUUUUGCAGCCAGAACAACGAGCGGCAUUCACUCCAUCCUGAUUUUUGGAAAACAUAUCUCUAUAGGCACACAGAGAGCACCCAGUGCAGUAAUCACCACGGGGAAAUGGCAAAGACACUAGGAAAAACAUGUUUGUGGUAAUAUCAAGAUUCCCGGAAUAGAUUGUACAGUUUUUCAGUUGAAAUUGCAACGUAUUAGACAAAUAGCCCUGUCUUUUCCUUCCACCCAUCACCUCGGCUUCACUGAAAUAUUUCUUGGAGGGCUCCAGAGUUUCUGCUGAGCUGAAGGCACCUCAUCCAUCCCACUUCUGCUUCAGUGUUUUGAGAGCAACACAUCACCAGGGCACCAGGCAGAGAUGUCAGGAGUCUCUAUCACACUUGUUUAAGACAGUCAGAAGAAACAGGCAUAAAAGGACCAGGCAAGCUGGAUGGAGACCUAAUGGGAAAACAGAAGGGUGAAGGUCAUAUUUAUCUUUGUGAAUCUACAGGGGUUUACACCAUGGAGCUCAGCUUGCUGACAAACAGGCCAUUGCAGGAGCACUCCAGCUGUGAACACGGAGAGCAAGAACAUGCCAGCUGAGCAGAUUUGCAUAUAUGGUUCUAGAAGGAUUGAAAAAUAAAUGCCAAGGAGAGUACCCACAGAGGAGACCCUCCACUAUUCCAACAGAAGAUUACAGACUUUCAAUAGGUUAACGUGGCAUGCCCAGCAGCCCUUCCCUGCUAUGGAAGUAUGUAGUCUGGCUGGAAAUAUCACACCACUUUUUCCAUGAUGCAAAUGAUAGUUGCAUUCAACAUCUCUCUCAGUGCCUCAGAAAAGUUCCUCUGGAACACAAUUGAGUCAACUCCUACUGAACACCUUAAGACACUCCAGAAUGAGCUUAUUUGUAUUUACAGGUUAUCAAAAUAAAUGCCAGAAACAUCAAAUAAUGUAUGCUUUCCAAGGGAGGUUUCUGUUUGGUUUCUUUUCAACAUUGCCUGCUUUCCAAAUCUAACACCACUUGAAGUCUGACCGAGGCUUUUUCAAACCAAAGCCUGCUUCCUACGUCUCUGCUUUCAGCCUCUGAGCUAUUAAUCAGCCUUCAUCUCACUGCCUUGCUUCCCUUGGCCUUUAAUGGUUACUGGGGUGGUUAACCCAAAGACAAAUGGUGUUCUAGGUGUGUUAGUUGUGAGGUCCAAAACUGGACUCACCCAGCCACUUCUCUACAAAACUUUACCCACAAUGAAAAACACUGAGGAUGUUCUCAUUUCAAGUGACUGUCAACCAGCAACAACCACGACCUGCAAAAAGUUGUAGGGGUACCUGUUGCUUUAAACAAGCUUGGCAGACUGAUGCAGAAAAAACAUUAUUUUGAGCUCGCCUAACCAAGGGGAUUGCAUCAAUAAGCACCAGGGCAUGGACACUGGCUCAUUUUGCUGCUGGCUGAAAGGGCAGAUUAUGAACAAAAUUGUUUCAUAUGGAGCUCCCUUUUCCCAGUGUCUUACCUCAGCACACAGAGUUUCAGGGCAGGCUGAUAAACCUUCCCAUGGGCAAAGUGUGAGCCCAGCUAGCGGAGCAGUGCCUGCCCUGACCUCUGCCAAGUGCUCCAGCGCCUCAGGGUGAGCAGCCAAGGCACAGGGCAAGCUCACAGCCACGGGCCACAUGCCGAAAGUGGACCCAGAGCCCUUGGGAUGGGCGCCUGCCUGCCUUGCUCUACCUACUACAUGUGCCCGAGUCGAGCAUACAGGCAGGCAGGUGCAUCAGCAUUUCCUUUAUUAAAAAUCAGAACCUAGGUCAAAAUGCUAUUUUGUCAAUAGGAAGUAUUCGGUUCUGUUCUUACCAUUAAUUACUGAUAUUCCUAAGGGCGUUAUCCAGUGGGCCAGAGGGGACUCAUAAAGAACACAUGGCUAUCCAAGUACAUCUGUCAUUAUUGCAUUACCUAUUUUCACUGCUUUGUGGGUACUGUGUAUAAUUUACAUUUAUUUGUUAAGGCUUGUGCUGCCUGUAGAGAUGAGGGUAGGUAAGUUUGCCAUAGGAAGGAUCCACCUCUGUAUGGUGAACAAUUCCUCAUCCGUCUCCUGGUUUUCCAUUGCUUGAUCUCACAACCUGUCCAACAUCUUAGAUGCCUUGACAUCUACCAAAGAGCUCAUUAGAACAAAGACAGUUUGAUCUUUAAAAAAAAGAGUAGCAGAUGGCAGCUUUGCUAGGGAUGAGUGUUUCUUGAGUACUCCUGGGUACUCCAGGAGGGCAAAUCUUGGAAUACACUUCUUCCCUUGAUAGCUCAGCCUCCUUCUCCAGCAGCCAUUGGUGGUGGUGGUCUUGCAGCUAAUGAUGGAGAACAACAUGGAGGCAUCUUCCCUGGUAGAGCUCUCCCUGGAUCAGAUCACAUCUGGUGUCAGAGCCAACCAUCAUGGACUUAGGUUUCCAUCUAAAAACUCUACAUUUUAUCUGCUUAUUAAUAGACAACAAAACCUUAACCCUCAGCAUUUUUUUUUCUUUCCCUUCAUUCCCAGUACAGAUUAAAACAGGCUUUUAAUGUUCCUAAAAUACAGGCUGUCUCACCAGGCCCUCCAUCCCUGGAGGAUGAGCUGUCUUUGGGAGAUCACCUGCCUUUCAGCUUGAGUUAGUCCCUGCCCUGGCUGUGCAGGGCAGGCAGCUUGAAGGCAGCGCUAAUCAGCCAAACAGCAGCUGAGAGCAGGGGGCAGCUUGGCAAGCAGCGUGUGGCCAACAAGACGGGAUUGAAGGGAGAGGAGGAAGGGACUGUGGCUCUGUGUAGCAGUGCAGAUAACAUAUGCUCAGAGCCAGCCCUGGAUGGCACAAAAGGUCUGGAGUAAGACAGUUUUUAGAUCUUUUAUUGCAGCCAAUAUUCUGUAAUAUUUCCACACCAGACAAAUCUUGUUUUCCAACAGCUCUUUUCGAAGGAAACCCUGUCCUGAUCAUCCUAUAUCAGGCACAAGAUGAUGGCCUCAAAGUAGGAUGAGCAUCAACACAAACUAUCUUCAUCCUAAUCUUGACACUGUGAAAAACCAUUAGUGUUGGGAGUGACACAGCAAAGGACAUGAGAAAUCCUAAGGUUCAACGUACUUGGUUAGCAUCUCUUGGGAGUGGGGAUCUACAAGUACUACUGCCUUUCCAUCUGCCUUCAGGCACAUAGCAGUGCAAAGACUUAAGUAAAAUUUUUGGUAUUCUUGUAGACAGGGGAAGAGAGCUGUACACUCAAAUCAUCAUGAAGAAAUUCACACUUGCUUAUGCCAUACUUGUACUUGAUAAGACUGCUCAGAGAUGAUACCUUUUCUUUCUUAUGAGUUUGCUUGCAUAAAACUAAUUCUAAGUUCAGAUUGUACCUUGGGAAGGUGGUGCAAAGUAGUAGAUUUUUUCUAUUUCGUUGAUAUUUCUUUUAUUUGGACAAUGCUGAAAACAUGCUAGAUGUCUGUUGUACAAGCAUGCCCAGGUUAAAAACAACAACAAUAAAUAAAUUUUUUAAAAAAAGUAUAUUGAAUCAUUUACAGAGAACAGGUUGGUGCAGACUUUCUGAUGGGGUAAUCACACGGGGAGAAAGGAUUAAUGUCUCUGCAUUAUUAAGCUUUGGUGUGCUUGUCAUAACCUUCUACCAGCUUUUGCAUUUGCUGACUAAAACCUGGCUACCAGAUGGCAUUAUUUGGCUUUGCCUAUGCUUCUGAGACACCCUAGCAUCAUCCUGUAUUGUAUCCAGAACCCCUUGGUGUGUUGUUAUACAGUAAGAAGAGCAAGUCUGGCACCUUUCAUUAGCAAACCAUGCAAUAAAUAGCACGAGAUCCACAGGAACAAGCUGAUGCUGUUUAGAUGCUCAUUUAAGUCUAGCAUUUUUCUGACCAAUCUUCUCUAGAUUUUUAUUUAUACAAUAAUUUCAUAUGUCUAUUUUAGUUUCUGAUUAUUUUUUUCUGUUUACCUUCCUGCACCAGGAAAAGCAGGCAUAAAAGCUUCAAUCAUCUAAUUUCUCUCCCAUUAGUUUUCUGUUUUUGUAAUUCUAAUGCCAGUAUUGAUUGAAGUUAACCCCUCAAUUUGCUGGUAUAAAUUGAAAGUAAAUUGGCCCUGAUAUAUUUCCCAUUGUCUUCCAGGUAUUUAUUUCCUGCAAUGUUUUUUGGUCCUCUGUCUCACCCCAGUGAUACCUGUCAAUAUUUUUUGGCUUUUUUCACACAUUAUACAAAACCGUUCAGCAAAACUAAUUUUUGAAAACAGAAUUUUCCUCUUAUUAAGACUUUGUGGAGCAAAUCAUGAGGUUGAGAAGUCGUGGUAUUUCAUAAUCAGUUAAGCAAUCAUCCUCGCGUACUACUGAUAGCUACAUUUUCGUUCUAUUUAUAUUCUUCCUAUAUUCUCUAUUCUGCUAAGUCUGAGGCAACCCUUUAUAGCACUGACUGCUGUUGUGAGCUCUGCCUUCCAUCUCCCAGCUAGCCGAAGUACCCAUGGCAGUCUACACAGUUGUUUUUAGCAGUUCUGGGCAAUGAUCACAUCUAUGAAAAGUUCCAGAACAUCUUUUAAAACUGGAGGCUAGCAA